RNAcentral lists this long non-coding RNA (558 nucleotides) under Brassica napus (rape). Its description in RNAcentral is "long non-coding RNA (BNAP_LNC004868)". The record is from RNAcentral. Lineage: Eukaryota; Viridiplantae; Streptophyta; Magnoliopsida; Brassicales; Brassicaceae.
UUACAAAUGUAAACAUGAAAAUCAGCGUUUCUUUGACUAUAUACUUAUACGAAUCUACAUACGUAUAAAUAUAUGUUCCAUCCAUCCUAUAGAUGGAACAUAUAUUAACAUUUAUAUAUAUUUAUUCUCCCACAUACGCAUCUUUUAUUCAAGUUGGUAUCAACAUGAUUUUGGAAAGAUUUUACCUACUUCCAUUGAAUAUCAGAUCUCUUAUAAAUAUAUGUUCCAUCCAUCCUAUAGAUUUUUCAAAACUAAAAUCGCCAAAAGAUUUGUGUUUUUUUUUUCAAUUACCUUUAUUUAUGUUUUUUUUUCCUCUUCCUGAACGGUCACAUUAGAUUAUCAAUAUUUCAAAAGGGGCUGGAUGAGGAUAUGUGAUUAUUUUGUGGAUCAUGAGAGCUCAACUUAAUUCACAAUUUUUUUGGGCUUCACCGUGUAAUAUAACUGGCUGAUAUCAAAGCCUAAUUUAAUUUCCUUUCAAAACCACUUUAAUUAGUAUGUUUUAUGUAAUUAUGUGUCAAAAAUGUGAUGUAGUUCUUUAACACCAAACAAACAUCAAAC